UUAGGAUAGUGUCUAGAAUGCACAAACAAAAUGCCGCUGUUUGGAUAUAACAAUGGAUUAUUUUGAACCAAACCAACAUUUGUUAUUGAAGUAACAGUCCUGGGAGUGCAUUCUGACGAAGAACACCAAAGCAUCAGUAGAAGACUCCUGACUCUCCUCCACCAGUCAUACAAGGAUAAUGCCUAAUGCUUCCCAUUAAAAAGAGAGCUGGCCCAAGCAAGCACAGGUUAUACCUGAAGCAUGAGGACUUGCAGCAAGUGGUGAACUUCAUCAAUAACUACGGAGAGGAUAAUGCAAUAGUAUUACCAGGAAGCCACCCAGGACACAAACACUUUGGUGGAAAGCUGCUGCCAUCCCAUGUGACAAAAGCAGCAGUGUGCCAUCUCUACAAUGAAUCGAUGACAACACUUGAGGUACGUGCAGUUGGGCUGUGUGUUAUCAUUUUAACUUCCAGUUUCCAAUAUUAUGUUUCUGUAUGCAGUGCUGCUGCUCUGCACAUUUGUAGAAUAAAUGUUUCAUGUCGAAUGAGAGAUCCAUUUCUGUCAGUCUCCUAUUUGCCUGAGGGGGCCUGCAAGGCAUAAGUAGAAAGAACUUUCAUUCCAUGUUUAUCAUCUCAAGUAUUCGGGCCAACAACCUACAUUGAUGACAGGGCUGUUGCCAUUGAUGACAGGAACUGUGAUGGUUACGAGCCACAAACAUGCCUCAUUUUCCUUUUCCCACGCCUGGAAUGGCCCCACGUUGACAUCCCCGUGCAAGUGACUGAUUGAAGCUCCCACACACGGCAUUGUGUUUCUCCAUCUCUUUUCUGGGAAGCUGUUCUUGGAAACACUCUUUUCCGAGGUGAUAAUGUGGAGGCGCCCAGGUGGAGGAAAAGGAAGUAAUCAGCCAUUCACUAUCACAGCCGAGGGAUUCCUGAGAAAACCAGCAAACCAGGCUGUCGUCUUGGGAAACAGUGGAUGUAAAGAAUCUAGCUAAAGCAUAUACUGCAAAUUGAAUGUACAGUUACGUAAGCUUGCCUUGCCGUGCAAUGCUGCUGAAGUAACAUAGCUAGCUAACUAUUUACUUGCUUAUUGUGUAGUGGAGGAUAAAAAUAACUGUAUGCCUAUGUAUGUGUAGCUAGCUACAGUAUGUUGCCGAUCUGUGUAUGGACCCUAAAAUGUUCUGAACUAAUAUUCA
This 1176-nucleotide long non-coding RNA is filed under the name Salmo salar (Atlantic salmon). RNAcentral describes it as "lncRNA (ENSSSAG00000094281.1)". Lineage: Eukaryota; Metazoa; Chordata; Actinopteri; Salmoniformes; Salmonidae. The record is from RNAcentral.